CAGCCUGGGCAGCAGAGCGAGACUCCCUCUCAAAAAAAGGAAUGAAAUGGGCCAGGUGUGAUGCCUCAUACAGGUAAUCCUAGCAUUUAGGAGGCCAAGGCAAGAGGAUCACUUAACUUCAGGAAUUUGAGACCAGGCUGGGCAACAUAGGGAGACCCCAUCUCUACUAAAAAAUUUUAAAACUUAGCCCAGUGUGGGAGAGUGUGCCUGCAAUCCCAGCUAUUAGGGAGCUGAGGUGGGAGGAUCACCAGUAUCUGGAAUGUCGAGGCUGCAGUGAGCCGCAAUUGUGCUACUUGCACUUCAACCUGGGUGACACAGUGAGACCCUGUAAAAGAAAUCUACCUAGGCUUAUAAAAUAGUAAUUACAAAAUGGUUGCUUUCGUUGGAGAUGGAAAGAAGAAGUAGAGAAGUUGUCAUUUACCAUGCCCUCAUAUUUAUGGUCUUAAAUAACUGGGCUUUAGGAUAUAUUAAUAUAUAACUUAUGAUUCAGAAAAUCCCAUGUAAAAGCUUAGUAGCAUUGUUGUAACAGUAACAUAUUUCAUUGUACUUCAGGAUCGUCCAGGGAUGCAGUCUUACCAUCCAGGAGCUCAAAGCCACUAUCAACACUAUUUUCCUGAUGACAGCACCAACUAUAGAUACUCACCAGUAGAAGAAAAGCAGGAUUGUCCAUGGAUGCAGCGUUACCAUCAAGGAGCUCGAGGCCGAGGUCGACUCUGGCACCCUGUUGACAAGUCUAGAGAUUCAGCAGUAGAAAGAAACCAGGAUCAUCCACGGAUGCAGCGUUACCAUCCAGGAGCUCGAAGCCGAGGUCGACUCUGGCACCCUGAUGACAAGUCUGGAGAUUCAGCAGUAGAAAGAAAGCAGGAUCAUCCAGGGAUGCAGCGUUACCAUCCAGGAGCUCGAAGCCAAGGUCGACUCUGGCAUCCUGAUGACAUAACCAAGUCUGGAGAUUCAGCAGUAGAAAGAAAGCAGGAAAGUGGUAUUAGCCAUACAAAAGAAGAGGAGAGGCCAGGUGUGAUGGUUCACGCCUGUAAUCCCAGCACCUUGGGAGGCUGAGGCGGGUGAAUCACCUGAGGUCAGGAGUUCGAGACCAGCCUGGCCAAUAUGGUGAAACCCCGUCUCUACUGAAAAUAUAGGCAUGGUGGCAGGUGUCUGUAGUCCCAGGUACUUGGGAGGCUGAGGCAGGAGAAUCGCUUGAACUCAGGAGGCAGAGGUUGCAGUAAGCCGUGAUCUUGUCACUGCACUCCAGCCUGGGCAACAGAGCAAGACUGUCUCAAAAAAAAGAGAAGAAGAGUAGAGGACUGUGCAGCAAGGAGUAAGUUUUGCCUCAAAGCAGGAAUCUGAUCAGAGGUUCAGAAUUGGAAGUACAAUUUCAUUGUUUUUGCAAUUUCUAUAAAUUAAAGUGUCAGAAAAAAGGUGACAGUGAGGACAUGCAUUGCAAUUUGCAGGGGGAAGUGUCAAGUGAGGACUUCGUCACAUAUGACAUGAGAGAAAAGUAAGAGCUGGUUCUAAAAUCAAAAGCUGUUGUUCAUCCGAGAUUGAGUUUCUAAAUUUCGGUGGAGCAGAGUCGCUUUGAAGUCUUGUUCCAAUCUAUUUCUACUGAAUUGUUAAUGAUAACUGUUGACUUUGGGUAGUAUAGAAGCAACAAGCAUGUCCUUAUAGUACAAGUACAGGGAAGGAUAGAACAAACUUUCAUUGAUGCAAACAUUUAAAUAGUCAUGUUACUUCCGUAUCCAAUAUCCUCAAGUUUUAGGAUUAGUUUUAGUUUUUUAUUUGCUUAUCUAAGCUUGGCAUGAAGAAUAUUUUUAAACAUCUCAUUUCGUCUGAGCAUUUUUUCUAUUAAGAGGUGAAAUGUAGUCCUUGUUUGAUUCUUGACAAUCCAGUGUGUGUUUGAUCUUAGGUCUCAUGAUCUGAGUGCAUACCCUCUCCAGGAAGGAAACUGCACCAAUGUCUGUUCCUGUUAAAUAGCAACUUUUAGUCUCAGCUUGUUUUGUUUUGAUGUCAAUAAAUAGUAACAGCAUUCAAGUCUGAAGCUAAGUGUAGUGAGUAACUUUAGUAAAUAGCUGUGAAUUUUGAGAAAUUAAUUUUUUGAUACUGAAUUAACCUCUUUGGAGUUUGGAAAGCAGAUGAAUGAUAUUAGUUUCUGCCUUCACUAGCAUGCCUUUGUUUUGUCCACCAGGGAAUGAUCAGUUCAUGGUUCACUCCUGUAUUAGGCCGUCCUUGCAUUGCUAAAAAGAAACACCUGAGACUGGGUAGUUGAUAAGAAAAGAGUUUUGGCCAGGCACGGUGGCUCAUGCCUGUCAUCCCAGCACUUUGUAAGGCGGAGGUGGGAUGACCACUUGAUGUCAGGAGUUCAAGACCAGCCUGGCUAAUAUGGUGAAACCCCGUCUCUACUAAAAAUACAAAAAAAAAAUAACCGGGCAUAGUGGCACGCUCCUGUAAUCCAAGCUGUUCGGGAGGCCAAGGCAAGAGAAUCGCUUGAACCCAGGAGGCAGAAGUUGCAGUGAGCCAAGAUCGCACCACUGCACUCCAGCCUGGGGGACAGAGCGAGACUCCAUCUCAAAAAAAAAAAAAAAAAAAGAAAAGAAGUUUAAUUAGUUCACAGUUCUGCAGGCUGUAUAAGCAUGGCAUCUCACAUUGCUCAGCUUCUGGGAGGCCUCAGGGAGCUUUUACUCAUGGCAGAAGGUGAAGCAGGAGCAGGCAUCUCACAUCACGGAGUGAGCAAGGGAGUGCAGGGAGGAGAUGCCACACUUUACAACAACCAGCUCUGUAAGAACUCACUGUGGAGAGGACAGCACCAAGCCAUGAGGGAUCUGCCCCAUAACCCAAACACCCCACCAGGCCCCACCUGCAACACUGGGGAUUAUAUUUCCAUGAGAUUUGGGUGGGGACAAAUAUCCAAACCACAUCAACUAUUCUGGUCCCAUAAGAACAAAAUGUUUAGACAACAUCCUUGAGCUUUUGCCUGAUUUUCAUUCAUUCUGCCAGCCCUUCCUAACAUGGCAUCAGUUUGCCUUUACUUUCUAAAUCACCACUUUAUGUUUGUCCAGGUUUUAGAAACAAAUAGCUGAAGAGGCAGGUACAAGAGCCACCAAUAAUGACUGAAAGUGAAUGAUUGUCAACUGGGCAAGAGUACUAAGGGAAGGGAAAAUUUCAAGAAGGAAAUUGGCUGACAAUGUCCCAUGCCACAGAGAGAUUAAGGAAGACAAGAAAUAGAAGUGUUCAUUGGAUUUGGCAGUCGUGAUUUCAUUAGUGAACUAAUGAAACUGAUGUCCUACAAGAGACAGAAACCAUGUUACAGUGAGGGGUGAAUGGCAGGUGGGAAAUGGAUGUAUGUUUGGAACUCAUCUGUUUUUCGGUGGUCAUUGAAGUCAUGGCCAUGGAUUCUGUCACUUAAGAGGGAGAGUGAAGUAGGAACAGAAGCAGACACCUAGGGCCCAACCUCGAAAAACUAACAUUACAUAGAGGUAAGGAAAUGUAUCUACAAAGGCAGAGAAGGACUAGCCAGAGAGUAGGAGAAAAACCAGAAGACUCUGGGUUACUUAAUCCAAGAGAAAACUGUUUCAAGGAAGAGGAGUGGCCAGCAGGGUUGGAUGCUGUGGAAUGGUCAAUUAUGAUGCCUGACAAAGGCCAUGGCAUUCAGUGACUUGCAAAUCACUGAUGCCCUAGAAUUAUGGGGCAGGGAAGUCAGAUUGGGUUGAGAAUAGAAAAGAUAUACACAACUUUUUAGAGAGGUCUGAGGGAUCUUCAAAAGUUUGUGGACGCUUAGUUCUACUCUGAGGCCUCCUUCACAUUCUCCUGAACAUAUCAAUGUGUAAUUAUCAGAAAGAAUCAUGGCUUGCAAUUAGUUCCUAGGUGGAUUUUUUCUUUUUCUUUAAGACGGAUUCUUGCUCUGUCACCCAGGCUGGAGUGCAGUGGUGGCAUCUUGGCUCACUGCAACCUCCACCUCCUGAGUUGAAGAAAUUCUCCUGCUUCUGCCUCCCAAGUAGCUGGAUUAUAGACACCUGGCACCACACAUGGCUAAUUUUUGUAUUUUUUGUAGAGACAGGGUUUCACCAUGUUGGCCAGGCUGGUCUCCAAUUCCUGACCUCAAGUGAUGUGCACACCUAAACCUCUCAAUGGGCUGGGAGUACAGGCAUGAGCCACUGGGCCCAGCCUGGAUAUAUAUUUUUUUCUUUUGAGGUAAGGUUUCUAUCUGUCACCACCACUGGAGUACCAUGGCACAAUCACGGCUCACUGCAGCCUUGACCUUCUGGGUUCAGUUGACCCUCCCACAUCAGCCUCCUGAGUAGCUGGGAAUAUAGGCAAAGGCCACCAUGCCCAACUAACUUUUGUAUUUUUUGUCAAGACAGGGUUUUCCCAUGUUGCCCAGGCUAUCUCAAACUCUUGGGCUCAAGCAGUCCGCCCCCCUUAGCCUCGCAAAGUGCUGGGAUUACAGGUAUGAGCCACUGUGUCCAGCCUGAUGGAUUUUUUUUUUUGAGACUGAGUCUCCCUCUGUCACCAGACUGGAGUGCAGUGGCGCAAUCUCGGCCCACUGCAACCUCCGCCUCAGGGUUUCAAGUGAUUCUCCUGCCUCAGCCUCCCGAGUAGCUGUGGAACUUCAAGCAUGCACCACCAUGCCCAGCUAAUUUUUGUAUUUUUAAUAGAGACAGGGUUUCACCAUGUUGGCCAGGAUGGUCUCGAUCUCUUGACCUUGUGAUUCGUCCACCUCAGCCUCCCAAAGUGCUGAUAUUACAGGUGUGAGCCACCGCGCCCGGCCAUGGACUUUUAAAAGAACAGACAAUGGGUGCAGUGACUCACGCCUGUAAUCCCAGCAUUUUGGGAGGCCAAGGCAGGUGGACCACCUGAGGUCAGGAGUUCAAGACCAGCCUGGCCAACAUGGUGAAACCCC
Long non-coding RNA from Macaca fascicularis (crab-eating macaque), 4891 nucleotides. The record is from Ensembl. Lineage: Eukaryota; Metazoa; Chordata; Mammalia; Primates; Cercopithecidae.